This 228-nucleotide long non-coding RNA is filed under the name Setaria italica (foxtail millet). Its description in RNAcentral is "long non-coding RNA (SITA_LNC000463)". The record is from RNAcentral. Lineage: Eukaryota; Viridiplantae; Streptophyta; Magnoliopsida; Poales; Poaceae.
GGAGGAAGGAAGUGGAACGGGGAUUUCGCAUGCAUGGGCCGCAAACAUUCUCAAGAACUUGUUACCAAACUUUUUUUAUGUUGAAUAAAAGCUCCAUCACAAAAAUCGGAAGACGCGACGUGCCAGCUCAAAUGUACUCUGUCUCGGACCUACUAGAUUUUCUUUUUGCUAUGGAUCAAGACCCCAUGCACUCCAAAUCUACAAUGCCAUUAGACGUGAUUAGUGAAA